UGGGUGGGAUGAAUGAGAAAGAAGUACUAGUUCAAAUGAAUUACCCUGGGGAGGAGAGGUCGUGGAGGAAUAAAGGGGAAUGUUGCAAGGAGAUUUUGAGCCCCAGAGAGGAGCAAACCCUAAGGAAAGAUCUGCUCAGAGAUGUAGAGAACUGGAAAGAACUUGGCUCUCACCAUCACAACAACAACCAAAACCGCUGGACAAACUACAAGUUAACAGAUUUUCUUGCACCUGUCAGAGAACGCAGGCCACAGGGCUAUCCUGGAAUCUGGGAGAAGCAGGCACCUGCAAAAGAGGCACAGGAUUCAAGCAUUUGCUCAUUUACUGACCUGGGGCAGAUGCCAGGUGAGAUCUGCCAGCAACACUGAGAGGUAUAUGGGUUGAGCCCUGCAUUCCAGACAGGAAACAGAACCGGAGAGGUCAAGGUUUACUCAGCCUUGUGUAUCUGUCAGGCACCAAAACUGCACUUUCCCUUUAACGAUGAAGGUACAGAUCGCCUUUCAUUUUAGGACAUCUAGAUUGGUUACUCAAAGGCCUUUUCUGCAUCCGCGGCUUCAUUCCAGAAAACGGAGGUCGGAAGAACCAUUCAAUUGAAGUGGGAACGAGUUUGGUCCAUGGUUUACUACCUUCAGCACCUUCUGCUAUUCUUUCUGAUGAUGUCUUCACGGAAGGCCCAUUGCCAGCCUUGAGACUGCUGAUUUCAAGGCACUUCUAAGACAAAAAUAAA
Long non-coding RNA from Zalophus californianus (California sea lion), 727 nucleotides. RefSeq lists it as uncharacterized. The transcript is spliced from 4 exons. Lineage: Eukaryota; Metazoa; Chordata; Mammalia; Carnivora; Otariidae. The record is from RefSeq and is a predicted model, not a curated record.